CGGCCUCCCGCUUCCGGCCUGAGCCCGAACCUAGCCUCCUGGAUUCGGCAUGCUGCAGCUGCAACGUCUUGAACCCCGGGGCAGCCUUCUGGAGGGGUGAGCGGAGCUGGCUCUGCUGGCUAACAGGGCACGGCGCCUGGGAUGCGCAAUGGUAUUUCCAGUAUGAAUUCCCACCAGCAGUGCAUGAGAGUUCUGAAAUCCCUACAUUCUUUCUACACUUACGGUCCACUCUAACAAAAAUGGUAUUAUGCCGUAUGAAUUGUUCCACACCUUGCUUUAAAACACCACCACCACCACCACUACCAACAAGUAACUACUUAAGAUAACAUUAUUUGGACUUCAUUUCAGGACCAGGGAUUGAACCAGGCCGUGGCAGUGAAAGUGCCGAGUCCUAACUACUGGACCACCAGGGAACUCCCAUGGACAUUUUAGCAGUACUGAUUUUUCCAGUCCACGAGCAUGCACUGUGCUCACCCCUCUGAAGCAGGUGAAGCAACCAAGGAAGAAAAGAACCAUAAAAACAAGAAAAUAACAGGCCCCGUCACCUCCAAGGUCCACAAGCGGAGAUGUCCAUCCUCAUGUGCAGUGACAAGGAUAGGUGGUUGAGUAUCUGUUAAAUUGGUGCUUUCCAGAUGUUUUUUAUCCACUGGCUGUUGCUCACCUACCGUGACAUCUUUUUGCUCACCUGUUGGAAAAUUAUAGGUAAAAAACUUUCUCGAACCGCAAUGCUGAGGGACGAUGGCCGGGGCUGCUAGCCCGUUCAGAGGUCGCGCCAUAGGGUGCUUUCCGCUCACCCUGCCUGUGGGCGACUUGAGCAACUUGUGUCUUAAGGAAGAGAAAAUCAAACCAGAUGCCAAUGGUGCUGGGGUCAACACCAAUGCUAAUGCAGAGAAGGCAGCUGAAGAAGAGAAAGAGGACAGAGCCGCCCAGUCCUUACUCAACAAGCUGAUCAGAAGCAACCUUGUUGAUAACACCAACCAAGUGGAAGUUUUGCAGCGGGAUCCAAACUCCCCACUCUACUCAGUGAAGUCCUUCGAGGAGCUUCGGCGGAAACCACAGCUUCUCCAGGGAGUCUACGCCAUGGGCUUCAACCAUCCAUCGAAGAUACAAGAGAAUGCAUUGCCUUUAAUGCUUGCUGAGCCGUACGUGUCCUGAUGCAAUUCUAUCUCAUUUUUAACCUCCCAUGUUUUUUUUAACUUUUAUUAUUUUAAAAAACUAUACUAGUAAUACAUGCUCAUUUUAGAAAAGUUAGAAAACAGUGAAAAAUAAGAAAAAAGAAAUAAUUUGUAAUCUCCCUCUCCCCUACACUAUUAAUAUUUGGAGUAGAGACUUCUAGAUGUUUUUCUAUGUAAACUUGCAUAUGUAUACUUUUUUCUUAAAGGAAACAUAUAAAAUGUUUAAAUGUUUUUUUGAUACGAUAAUUACAUAAUAAUAUUUCUAUGUUGGUAAAGACAUUUAUAUCAUUUAUAUACACCAUGAUUUCAUUAUAUGGAUAAGUAAAAUAUAUGUGUCAAAUGUAGAAGACAAAAACCAAACAGGGUUCUAGGAGAUCAGAAUAGUACAAUUGCUAAGGUCGUUUUCUGGUGCAGUGCUUCUUACUCUUUCAUAGGCAUUUGAAUUUCAUAGGAAUUUAUUAAAAUGCAGAUUCUGAUUUCAGUAAGUCUGAGGUGGGGACUGAGGUUCACCAUUUCUAGUAAGCUUCCCGGUGUUGCUGGUGCUGCUGGUAUCAGACCACAUUUUGAGGAACAAGGUUCUAGAGCAUGAGAACUUUUUAUAAAAACUGAUCCCUACAUCACAUAUGAUUAUCUAAAUUUGUACUGCAUAUAAUCCUAAAUCCCCCUUUCCCUAUUUGUCUGAAAAUAGAUACUUUAGGUUUGUAUUUUCUCAAAGUUUUUUUUUGUUCUGUGUCAUAAUGUAUUUUUCAA
RNA transcript from Physeter macrocephalus (sperm whale), 1925 nucleotides. It is a transcript of the gene named protein-L-isoaspartate(D-aspartate) O-methyltransferase-like, with no coding region annotated. NCBI's taxonomy places the organism in Eukaryota, Metazoa, Chordata, Mammalia, Artiodactyla, Physeteridae. The record is from RefSeq and is a predicted model, not a curated record. The transcript is spliced from 7 exons.